Molecule: ribosomal RNA, 253 nt
Filed under: uncultured bacterium
Lineage: Bacteria
Description: partial 16S ribosomal RNA
Rfam family: Bacterial small subunit ribosomal RNA
Source: RNAcentral
UACGAAGGGGGCUAGCGUUGCUCGGAAUCACUGGGCGUAAAGGGCGCGUAGGCGGGCUCUUAGGUCAGGGGUGAAAGCCCAAGGCUCAACCUUGGAAUUGCCUUUGAUACUGAGGGCCUUGAGACCGGAAGAGGUCGGCGGAACUGCGAGUGUAGAGGUGAAAUUCGUAGAUAUUCGCAAGAACACCAGUGGCGAAGGCGGCCGACUGGUCCGGUUCUGACGCUGAGGCGCGAAAGCGUGGGGAGCAAACAGG